UAUAUAUAUAUAUACACACACACACACAUAUAUAUAAUGGAGUAUUACUCGGCAAACAAAAAGAAUGAAAUCUUGCCAAUCGCAACUACCUGGAUGGCACUAGAGGGUAUAAUGCUACGUGAAAUUAGUCAGAUAAAGACAGAUAUCAUA
Long non-coding RNA from Lynx canadensis (Canada lynx), 150 nucleotides. RefSeq lists it as uncharacterized. The transcript has 3 exons. The record is from RefSeq and is a predicted model, not a curated record. Lineage: Eukaryota; Metazoa; Chordata; Mammalia; Carnivora; Felidae.